AGUGAACGCUGGCGGUAGGCCUAACACACGCAAGUCGAACGGCAGCACAGUAAGAGCUUGCUCUUACGGGUGGCGAGUGGCGGACGGGUGAGGAAUACAUCGGAAUCUACUUUUUCGUGGGGGAUAACGUAGGGAAACUUACGCUAAUACCGCAUACGACCUACGGGUGAAAGCAGGGGAUCUUCGGACCUUGCGCGAUUGAAUGAGCCGAUGUCGGAUUAGCUAGUUGGCGGGGUAAAGGCCCACCAAGGCGACGAUCCGUAGCUGGUCUGAGAGGAUGAUCAGCCACACUGGAACUGAGACACGGUCCAGACUCCUACGGGAGGCAGCAGUGGGGAAUAUUGGACAAUGGGCGCAAGCCUGAUCCAGCCAUACCGCGCGGGUGAAGAAGGCCUGCGGGUUGUAAAGCCCUUUUGUUGGGAAAGAAAAGCAGCAGGUUAAGACCCCGCUGUUCUGACGGUACCCAAAGAAUAAGCACCGGCUAACUUCGU
RNAcentral lists this ribosomal RNA (491 nucleotides) under uncultured bacterium. Its description in RNAcentral is "partial 16S ribosomal RNA". It matches the Rfam family "Bacterial small subunit ribosomal RNA", at positions 29 to 506 of the family's 1533-position model. The record is from RNAcentral.